UACGGGGGGGGGCAAGCGUUUGUUCGGAAUUACUGGGCGUAAAGGGCGCGUAGGCGGCCUUCUAAGUCGGACGUGAAAUCCCUCGGCUUAACCGAGGAACUGCGUCCGAUACUGAAAGGCUUGAAUCCGGGAGAGGGAUGUGGAAUUCCAGGUGUAGCGGUGAAAUGCGUAGAUAUCUGGAGGAACACCGGUGGCGAAGGCGGCAUCCUGGACCGGCAUUGACGCUGAGGCGCGAAAGCGUGGGGGAGCAAACAGGAUUAAGAAAC
This 266-nucleotide ribosomal RNA is filed under the name uncultured bacterium. RNAcentral describes it as "partial 16S ribosomal RNA". It matches the Rfam family "Bacterial small subunit ribosomal RNA", at positions 524 to 786 of the family's 1533-position model. The record is from RNAcentral.